This 253-nucleotide ribosomal RNA is filed under the name uncultured bacterium. Its description in RNAcentral is "partial 16S ribosomal RNA". It matches the Rfam family "Bacterial small subunit ribosomal RNA", at positions 524 to 776 of the family's 1533-position model. The record is from RNAcentral.
UACGUAGGGACCGAGCGUUGUCCGGAUUCAUUGGGCGUAAAGAGCUCGUAGGCGGCCACUCAAGUCGAAUGUGAAACCUCGAGGCUUAACCUCGAGCCUGCAUUCGAUACUGGGCGGCUAGAGUCUGGUAGGGGGAUCUGGAAUUCCUGGUGUAGCGGUGGAAUGCGCAGAUAUCAGGAGGAACACCGAUGGCGAAGGCAGGUCACUGGGCCGCAACUGACGCUGAGGAGCGAAAGCAUGGGGAGCGAACAGG